UCUUCGGAACUGAAGAUUUGGUGAUUGAGUGGCGGACGGGUGAGUAACGCGUGGGUAACCUGCCCUGUACAGGGGGAUAACAGUCAGAAAUGACUGCUAAUACCGCAUAAGACCACAGCACCGCAUGGUGCAGGGGUAAAAACUCCGGUGGUACAGGAUGGACCCGCGUCUGAUUAGCUGGUUGGUGAGGUAACGGCUCACCAAGGCGACGAUCAGUAGCCGGCUUGGGAGAGUGAACGGCCACAUUGGGACUGAGACACGGCCCAAACUCCUACGGGAGGCAGCAGUGGGGAAUAUUGCACAAUGGGGGAAAUCCUGAUGCAGCGACGCCGCGUGAGUGAAGAAGUAUCUCGGUAUGUAAAGCUCUAUCAGCAGGGAAGAAAAUGACGGUACCUGACUAAGAAGCCCCGGCUAACUACGUGCCAGCAGCCGCGGUAAUACGUAGGGGGCAAGCGUUAUCCGGAAUUACUGGGUGUAAAGGGUGCGUAGGUGGUAUGGCAAGUCAGAAGUGAAAACCCAGGGCUUAACUCUGGGACUGCUUUUGAAACUGUCAGACUGGAGUGCAGGAGAGGUAAGCGGAAUUCCUAGUGUAGCGGUGAAAUGCGUAGAGAUGGGGA
Molecule: ribosomal RNA, 617 nt
Filed under: uncultured Lachnospiraceae bacterium
Lineage: Bacteria; Bacillati; Bacillota; Clostridia; Lachnospirales; Lachnospiraceae
Description: bacterial SSU rRNA
Rfam family: Bacterial small subunit ribosomal RNA
Source: RNAcentral